Molecule: ribosomal RNA, 468 nt
Filed under: uncultured bacterium
Lineage: Bacteria
Description: partial 16S ribosomal RNA
Rfam family: Bacterial small subunit ribosomal RNA
Source: RNAcentral
GACGAACGCUGGCGGCGUGCUUAACACAUGCAAGUCGAACGGAAAGGCCCUGCUUUUGUGGGGUGCUCGAGUGGCGAACGGGUGAGUAACACGUGAGUAACCUGCCCUUUACUUUGGGAUAACUUCAGGAAACUGGGGCUAAUACCGGAUAGGAGCUCCUGCUGCAUGGUGGGGGUUGGAAAGUUUCGGCGGUUGGGGAUGGACUCGCGGCUUAUCAGCUUGUUGGUGGGGUAGUUGCUUACCAAGGCUUUGACGGGUAGCCGGCCUGAGAGGGUGACCGGCCACAUUGGGACUGAGAGACGGCCCAGACUCCUACGGGGGGCAGAAGUGGGGAAUAUUGCACAAUGGGCGGAAGCCUGAUGCAGCAGCGCCGCGUGCGGGAUGACGGCCUUCGGGUUGUAAACCGCUUUCGCCUGUGACGAAGCGUGAGUGACGGUAAUGGGUAAAGAAGCACCGGCUAACUACGUG